Molecule: ribosomal RNA, 381 nt
Filed under: uncultured bacterium
Lineage: Bacteria
Description: partial 16S ribosomal RNA
Rfam family: Bacterial small subunit ribosomal RNA
Source: RNAcentral
CCUACGGGAGGCAGCAGUGAGGGAUAUUGCGCAAUGGGCGAAAGCCUGACGCAGCGACGCCGCGUGGGCGAGGAAGGCCUUCGGGUUGUAAAGCCCUUUUGGCAGGGAAGAGCAAGGACUGUACCUGCAGAACAAGUCACGGCUAACUACGUGCCAGCAGCCGCGGUAAAACGUAGGGGGCAAGCGUUACUCGGAAUUACUGGGCGUAAAGGGUGUGUAGGCGGCCGAGCAAGUCGAAGAUGAAAUCCCAGGGCUCAACCCUGGAAUUGUCUUCGAUCCUGCUUGGCUGGAGGGUAGUGGAGGAGAGCGAAAUUCCCGGUGGAGGGGUGAAAUGCGUAGAUAUCGGGAGGAACACCAGAGGCGAAGGCGGCUCUCUAUGCU